Long non-coding RNA from Sardina pilchardus (European sardine), 371 nucleotides. RefSeq lists it as uncharacterized. The transcript has 3 exons. Lineage: Eukaryota; Metazoa; Chordata; Actinopteri; Clupeiformes; Clupeidae. The record is from RefSeq and is a predicted model, not a curated record.
UCACAUGGCUAUACGCCGUUUGAUGACAAUGCCAAGGGGAGCCUCAGGAGGCAGAAGAGCAGCAGUAAAAAGCACCUGUUUCCAAGCCCAGCAGUCUUCAGCCAGAUUGAUGCCCACGCCAUCAGAGCCGGAGAGGAGCUGAGGAGGAAGAGGAUCUUCUCUGUGAAGGCCAUCACUCAAGCUAUUACUGUGGGAGCAGUGACUGACCUACAAAAGUUAAGGGCUAUCUGGAUCUGGCUGUGCCACAACAUUGAGUAUGACGUAAGCGGAUACUUCGGGAAGACUGAGAAGAUAACCUCAAUUGAGCAGGUCAUCGAGACUCGCCGAGGCGUCUGCUGUGGCUACGCCAGGUUGUGCGAGCAGAUGUGCAG